AUGUCAACUAGUGUACACAUCCCCCAGGAGGAAAGGCUGGUGUUGAUCCUGGUGUGUGCAGGAGCAGCCGUCAUCGUCCUCACAGCUGUUAGCUCAGCAGCUCUUGUAGUCAGGAGGAUGGUCUACAGAACCAGGGAACCCGAGUAUCGUUUCUCCAACCUGCGCAGUCAGGAUGACAGCAGCUGCAUCACAGCAGACCUGCUGAGUACUACCAGCAGCAACGGUACAGUGUACCAGCAGGAAUCGGAUAACUUGAUCUUACAGGAUUUCACAGGAUCAGUGAAGCACAGCUCCAUUUCCCUGACAUGAUGAACGCUCAUCGUUGAAAGCCUCUGCACUAAAAACUAACCGCAAGCCACGCUUUCUUGGAAACGUCCCACCACUUUCAUGGAAGCCCCUUUGUGUCAAGUUUUUAUUUUUUAAUUAAUUAAAUAUUAAUGUUAUUCAUUUUUAUUUAUUAAGCACAGUUCUCAAGUUUCUUUUGUCUCUCUUUGAUUGCUGUAUUGGUUUGUUAUUGUUUUGUAAGCUUGUGAAAAUGAAAAGAAAUUUUAAAAAUCUUUAAAAACAAGCUGCAUUAAAAACCUUGUUG
RNAcentral lists this long non-coding RNA (589 nucleotides) under Oryzias sinensis (Chinese medaka). RNAcentral's name for it is "lncRNA (ENSOSIG00000019829.1)". Lineage: Eukaryota; Metazoa; Chordata; Actinopteri; Beloniformes; Adrianichthyidae. The record is from RNAcentral.